GUAGGACCACCAGUGGCGAAGGCGUCAGACUGGAACGCGCCUGACGGUGAGGGACGAAAGCCAGGGGAGCGAACCGGAUUAGAUACCCGGGUAGUCCUGGCCGUAAACGAUGCACACUAGAUGAUGGUGCGGCCAUGAGCCGUAUCAGUGUCGUAGGGAAACCGUUAAGUGUGCCGCCUGGGAAGUACGGUCGCAAGGCUUAAACUUAAAGGAAUUGGCGGGGGAGCACCACAAGGGGUGAAGCCUGCGGUUCAAUUGGACUCAACGCCGGGCAACUUACCAGGGGAGACAGCAGAAUGAAGGUCAGGUUGACGACCUUACCUAACAAGCUGAGAGGAGGUGCAUGGCCGUCGCCAGUUCGUGCUGUGAGGUAUCCUGUUAAGUCAGGCAACGAACGAGACCCGUGCCUUUAUUUGCCAUCAAGAAGUCACGACUUCGUUGGGAACGAUAAAGGGACUGCCGUCGAUAAGACGGAGGAAGGAGCGGGCAAAGGCAGGUCAGUAUGCCCCGAAACCCCUGGGCUACACGCGGGCUGCAAUGGUGCGAACAAUGGGCUGUGACUCCGACAGGAGAAACCAAUCCCGAAAUCGCAUCUCAGUUGGGAUUGUCAACUGUAACCCGUUGACAUGAACGUGGAUCCCUAGUAAUCGCGUGUCACCAUCGCGCGGUGAUACGUCUCUGCUC
This 684-nucleotide ribosomal RNA is filed under the name uncultured crenarchaeote. Its description in RNAcentral is "bacterial SSU rRNA". It matches the Rfam family "Archaeal small subunit ribosomal RNA", at positions 651 to 1335 of the family's 1478-position model. Lineage: Archaea; Thermoproteati; Thermoproteota. The record is from RNAcentral.